AUGAACGCUGGCGGCGUGCCUAAUCCAUGCAAGUCGAGCGAACAGACGAGGAGCUUGCUCCUCUGACGUUAGCGGCGGACGGGUGAGUAACACGUGGAUAACCUACCUAUAAGACUGGGAUAACUUCGGGAAACCGGAGCUAAUACCGGAUAAUAUAUUGAACCGCAUGGUUCAAUAGUGAAAGACGGUUUUGCUGUCACUUAUAGAUGGAUCCGCGCCGCAUUAGCUAGUUGGUAAGGUAACGGCUUACCAAGGCGACGAUGCGUAGCCGACCUGAGAGGGUGAUCGGCCACACUGGAACUGGGACACGGUCCAGACUCCUACGGGAGGCAGCAGUAGGGAAUCGUCCGCAAUGGGCGAAAGCCUGACGGAGCAACGCCGCGUGAGUGAUGAAGGUCUUCGGAGCGUAAAACUCUGUUAUUAGGGAAGAACAAAUGUGUAAGUAACUAUGCACGUCUUGACGGUACCUAAUCAGAAAGCCACGGCUAACUACGUG
RNAcentral lists this ribosomal RNA (496 nucleotides) under uncultured bacterium. RNAcentral describes it as "partial 16S ribosomal RNA". It matches the Rfam family "Bacterial small subunit ribosomal RNA", at positions 29 to 507 of the family's 1533-position model. The record is from RNAcentral.